GGUUUAUUUGGCUCACAGUUUGUAGAGGUUUCCGUCCACAGUCGGCGGCUCCAAGGCAGGGCAUAGCAGAGGAGAAACAGUCCAUGGCAGGGUAGUGAGGAGCAGACAGAGGUCAAAGGGGGAGGGAAGGAGAUGGCCUCCAGGCCCUGCCCCAGUGACCACUGGCUUCCUCUCCCGACAGCACAUUCAGCUACAAACCCAUCAGUGGACUACUCCACUGCCCAGGAAAGGCGAACUGCUACCGGAUGACGUGGGGCGUGUGGUGCCCGUGUUUGGAGGCGCCAGCGCCGGGCUGCUGCAGGACACGGGUGAGGGCCUACGGGCAUGUUCAGGCCUGUGACACCUCUCAGGCAGGCUUGAGACUCAGAAUCCCAC
RNAcentral lists this long non-coding RNA (375 nucleotides) under Heterocephalus glaber (naked mole-rat). RNAcentral's name for it is "lncRNA (ENSHGLG00000037039.1)". Lineage: Eukaryota; Metazoa; Chordata; Mammalia; Rodentia; Bathyergidae. The record is from RNAcentral.